RNAcentral lists this long non-coding RNA (204 nucleotides) under Mytilus galloprovincialis (Mediterranean mussel). Lineage: Eukaryota; Metazoa; Mollusca; Bivalvia; Mytilida; Mytilidae. The record is from RNAcentral.
UUUACUUUGACCCUUUGACAAAAAUAUAAAAAAAACAAAAAAAUUUAACCAACCGUUUAAUCAGAAAAAUUACACUGGUUAUAUAGCAGUUUGACAAACAUUUAUUUUUAUCACUGAGAAGCUUAAUAUUCCCUUAAGAACACAACGGCAUUAAAACGUUCUGCUGAUUUUACAGAGAUAUCUCCCUGUAGUGUAAAUUACCAC